AGAUUGAACGCUGGCGGCAGGCCUAACACAUGCAAGUCGAGCGCGAAAGUUCCUUCGGGAAUGAGUAGAGCGGCGGACGGGUGAGUAACGCGUAGGAAUUUGCCCAGUAGUGGGGGACAACUCGGGGAAACUCGAGCUAAUACCGCAUACGCCCCAAGGGGGAAAGCAGGGGAUCUUCGGACCUUGCGCUAUUGGAUAAGCCUGCGUCGGAUUAGCUAGUUGGUGGGGUAAGGCCUACCAAGGCAACGAUCCGUAGCUGGUCUGAGAGGAUGAUCAGCCACACUGGGACUGAGACACGGCCCAGACUCCUACGGGAGGCAGCAGUGGGAAUAUUGGACAAGUGGGGGCAACCCUGAUCCAGCCAUGCCGCGUGUGUGAAGAAGGCCUUAGGGUUGUAAAGCACUUUCGAGUGGGAGAAAGCUGGCGACUAAUAGUCCGUCGGCCCUGACGUUACCCGAC
This 459-nucleotide ribosomal RNA is filed under the name uncultured soil bacterium. RNAcentral's name for it is "bacterial SSU rRNA". It matches the Rfam family "Bacterial small subunit ribosomal RNA", at positions 26 to 486 of the family's 1533-position model. The record is from RNAcentral.